Non-coding RNA from Cinara cedri, 260 nucleotides. Lineage: Eukaryota; Metazoa; Arthropoda; Insecta; Hemiptera; Aphididae. The record is from the annotation of a GenBank genome assembly.
UAUAUUUUUCCCUUUUUUGCCAAGAUAGCCCAGAAAUCAGUAAAAAUCAUAAACCAAAAAAAGUACUUAGGCGUGAACUUGGAAAUAUGUUUUAAAUAUAGUACCCAAAAUCUAAAACAAAAUGUUUUUCAGUCAAUGAUCAGGACUUCAGUGAUAUUAAUUGAGUGAAAUAUUUGGAAUCUAGAAAAAUGUUUUAACCCUAUUUAAUAAGUAUAUAGUUACAAUCGUGUAAAACUUUUGGAGCGUUUUAACUUAACCAG